AGAGUUUGAUCCUGGCUCAGAUUGAACGCUGGCGGCAUGCUUUACACAUGCAAGUCGGACGGCAGCACAGAGAAGCUUGCUUCUUGGGUGGCGAGUGGCGAACGGGUGAGUAACAUAUCGGAACGUACCGAGUAGUGGGGGAUAACUGAUCGAAAGAUCAGCUAAUACCGCAUACGUCUUGAGAGGGAAAGCAGGGGACCUUCGGGCCUUGCGCUAUUCGAGCGGCCGAUAUCUGAUUAGCUAGUUGGUGGGGUAAAGGCCUACCAAGGCGACGAUCAGUAGCGGGUCUGAGAGGAUGAUCCGCCACACUGGGACUGAGACACGGCCCAGACUCCUACGGGAGGCAGCAGUGGGGAAUUUUGGACAAUGGGCGCAAGCCUGAUCCAGCCAUGCCGCGUGUCUGAAGAAGGCCUUCGGGUUGUAAAGGACUUUUGUCAGGGAAGAAAAGGCUGUUGCUAAUAUCAGCGGCUGAUGACGGUACCUGAAGAAUAAGCACCGGCUAACUACGUGCCAGCAGCCGCGGUAAUACGUAGGGUGCGAGCGUUAAUCGGAAUUACUGGGCGUAAAGCGGGCGCAGACGGUUACUUAAGCAGGAUGUGAAAUCCCCGGGCUCAACCCGGGAACUGCGUUCUGAACUGGGUGACUCGAGUGUGUCAGAGGGAGGUAGAAUUCCACGUGUAGCAGUGAAAUGCGUAGAGAUGUGGAGGAAUACCGAUGGCGAAGGCAGCCUCCUGGGAUAACACUGACGUUCAUGCCCGAAAGCGUGGGUAGCAAACAGGAUUAGAUACCCUGGUAGUCCACGCCCUAAACGAUGUCAAUUAGCUGUUGGGCAACUUGAUUGCUUGGUAGCGUAGCUAACGCGUGAAAUUGACCGCCUGGGGAGUACGGUCGCAAGAUUAAAACUCAAAGGAAUUGACGGGGACCCGCACAAGCGGUGGAUGAUGUGGAUUAAUUCGAUGCAACGCGAAGAACCUUACCUGGUCUUGACAUGUACGGAAUCCUCCAGAGACGGAGGAGUGCCUUCGGGAGCCGUAACACAGGUGCUGCAUGGCUGUCGUCAGCUCGUGUCGUGAGAUGUUGGGUUAAGUCCCGCAACGAGCGCAACCCUUGUCAUUAGUUGCCAUCAUUCGGUUGGGCACUCUAAUGAGACUGCCGGUGACAAGCCGGAGGAAGGUGGGGAUGACGUCAAGUCCUCAUGGCCCUUAUGACCAGGGCUUCACACGUCAUACAAUGGUCGGUACAGAGGGUAGCCAAGCCGCGAGGUGGAGCCAAUCUCACAAAACCGAUCGUAGUCCGGAUUGCACUCUGCAACUCGAGUGCAUGAAGUCGGAAUCGCUAGUAAUCGCAGGUCAGCAUACUGCGGUGAAUACGUUCCCGGGUCUUGUACACACCGCCCGUCACACCAUGGGAGUGGGGGAUACCAGAAGUGGGUAGGAUAACCGCAAGGGGUCCGCUUACCACGGUAUGCUUCAUGACUGGGGUGAAGUCGUAACAAGGUAGCCGUAGGGGAACCUGCGGCUG
RNAcentral lists this ribosomal RNA (1521 nucleotides) under Neisseria polysaccharea. RNAcentral's name for it is "bacterial SSU rRNA". It matches the Rfam family "Bacterial small subunit ribosomal RNA". Lineage: Bacteria; Pseudomonadati; Pseudomonadota; Betaproteobacteria; Neisseriales; Neisseriaceae. The record is from RNAcentral.